Molecule: long non-coding RNA, 447 nt
Organism: Platichthys flesus (European flounder)
Lineage: Eukaryota; Metazoa; Chordata; Actinopteri; Pleuronectiformes; Pleuronectidae
Exons: 3
Source: RefSeq, a predicted model, not a curated record
GGGCCGGGACCACAAACUGGGCCAAACACAUGUCAUACGACUCGGCAUAAGGCUGAACUGGAAAAUCAACGAAAGGGCAGGCGGGGAUCAACAGACGAAAGCAGAAUCACAGCCCACUCCAGCUACUUGCUAGGGGUCUCUCAAUCAAAACAAUAACAGAGGAUCGGGUUUGAUGACGUCAUGAGGCAGCGUGGGAUCAUGGGAACUGUUGUCUUCACCUCCACUGCUGAUGAAAUCUACCAGAUCAUGUUCAUGAUCUGGAAACGUCUCCAGGAAAAGGAUGAGGCCCAUGCCUUUGGCAACAGAAUCUCUCUUACUGGCUUCACACACAUGAAGCCUCAUCUGUUGAUCCAGAAAUGUGAGGGGAAUUAAUGCACCUGAAAAAAGGAAAUGGUUGAGAAGAACUGGGAUAAAUGAGCCCAGUCACUUCAGAUCUCCAGCAAAGCU